CUGUAUUGAGGACCAGUCCUUCAACAUAUGACUCUUUGGGAACAUUCCAAAUCUAGACUAUAGUAGAUGUUACAGAGAUCGGCAAAAUAGGGGUAGUCAAUAGUGCCAGAUUACCAAACGUACUGGGGAUUGAACAGAGCUACGUGCGUAGCCCUUUUACAGUUUUUAGACAACCACUUGCUAAGUCACUAAAUUGCCUGGCCUGGGCUCAAACAUGCACUCCUCCUGCCUCAGCCUCCCAGAGUGCUAGAAUUACAAAUGUGUGUCAUCGUGUCCAGCACCACAGGGAUUGAACUCAGACCCUUGCGCUUUUGAGGCAGGUAGCAGAACCACUGAGCCUAAAUCCCAGGCCCUUGGAGUUGUACUUCUAAAGGAAUUCACCACAUAAAAAAGAUUAGCGAUGGCUGCCUGAGGAUCUGCCCAAGAAUGACACUUCCAGACCGGGAAGUUCAUCACCAACUGACAAUUUCAAAG
Molecule: long non-coding RNA, 474 nt
Organism: Heterocephalus glaber (naked mole-rat)
Lineage: Eukaryota; Metazoa; Chordata; Mammalia; Rodentia; Bathyergidae
Source: Ensembl